This 253-nucleotide ribosomal RNA is filed under the name uncultured bacterium. RNAcentral describes it as "partial 16S ribosomal RNA". It matches the Rfam family "Bacterial small subunit ribosomal RNA", at positions 524 to 776 of the family's 1533-position model. The record is from RNAcentral.
GACGAACCGUGCGAACGUUGUUCGGAAUCACUGGGCUUAAAGGGCGCGUAGGCGGGUGACCAAGUCCGGGGUGAAAUCUUUCGGCUUAACCGGAAAAGUGCCUUGGAUACUGGUCGCCUGGAGGGAGGUAGGGGCAUGUGGAACUUCCGGUGGAGCGGUGAAAUGCGUUGAUAUCGGAAGGAACGCCGGUGGCGAAAGCGACGUGCUGGCCCUCUUCUGACGCUGAGGCGCGAAAGCCAGGGGAGCAAACGGG